Molecule: ribosomal RNA, 451 nt
Filed under: uncultured bacterium
Lineage: Bacteria
Description: bacterial SSU rRNA
Rfam family: Bacterial small subunit ribosomal RNA
Source: RNAcentral
GCUAAGAAUCUUCCGCAAUGGGCGCAAGCCUGACGGAGCGACGCCGCGUGAAUGAUGAAGGCCGAAAGGUUGUAAAGUUCUUUUCUUGGGGAAGAAUAAGGCAGGUAGUGGACUGAUCUGCCGAUGACAUUAACCGAGGAAUAAGCCCCGGCCAAUUACGUGCCAGCAGCCGCGGUAAUACGUAAGGGGCAAGCGUUGUUCGGAAUUAUUGGGCGUAAAGGGCGUGUAGGCGGUUUUAUAAGCCCGAUGUUAAAUACCACAGCCUAACUGUGGAAGCGCGUCGGGAACUGUAAGACUGGAGUUCAGGAGGGGAAGCUGGAAUUCCUGGUGUAGGGGUGAAAUCUGUAGAUAUCAGGAAGAACACCGAUGGCGAAGGCAAGCUUCUAGACAUGGACUGACGCUGAGGCGCGAAAGCGUGGGGAGCAAACAGGAUUAGAUACCCUAGUAGUCC